Molecule: long non-coding RNA, 1047 nt
Organism: Patella vulgata (common limpet)
Lineage: Eukaryota; Metazoa; Mollusca; Gastropoda; Patellidae
Exons: 9
Source: RefSeq, a predicted model, not a curated record
UUUUAAAAAAGUAUAGACAAAAAACUUACAUGCUGCUGAAGAUAGGCCUACGAAUGUCAGAAGACCUGGUAUCUUUAAACAACACAGCUCUGAUGAACUUUAUCCCAAGUAACCCAACCAACUUUUUCCGAUACAAUGGAAGUUUGACAACACCCUCAUGUAAUGAAGUUGUUGUGUGGGCAGUUUUUACUGAAACUAUAAAAAUCUCAAAAAUCCAGCGUGGGGAUACGAGAACAGUGGUCCGUCAAACUGGGCACAGACUUACUCUACAUGUGGCGAAAACAGUCAAUCACCCAUCAAUAUUAAAAUUUCCGAUACAACAUUACAAGCUAGCCUUGGAAAUAUGACAAUGACCGGAUAUGACACACCAGUUGCCUUAACGAUUAAAAACAACGGACAUACUGCCCAAGUUGACGUCACUGGUAAUCAAUAUAUUUCGAAUGGCGGCCUUUCAGAACAAUAUAAACUUGCACAGUUUCAUUUCCAUUGGGGAUCUGAUGACACGAAAGGUUCCGAACAUCAACUUAACAGUAAAACCUAUCCCAUGGAAGUUCAUCUCGUCCAUUAUAAAACUUCUCUAGGAAGUCUAGGAAAUUCUGUAGGUGUAAAAGAUGGUCUUGCUGUUCUUGGGUUCAUGUUUGAGAUUUCAGACUGUGAUAAUGCUAAUUAUGCUGAUCUUAUUUCUAAAUUAGCUGACAUUACAGCAUACAAUUCUAGCAACCUGGUGUCUUUAAACAACACAGCUCCGAUGAACUUUAUCCCAAGCAACCCAACCAACUUUUUCCGAUACAGUGGAAGUUUGACAACACCCUCUUGUAACGAAGUUGUUGUGUGGACAGUUUUUACUGAAACUAUAAAAAUCUCAAAAACCCAGAUGGCGACAUUUCGUACAUUGAUGUCCUCUGAAACCGAUUCCAACAACCAACAAUAUAAUAUUACCAACAAUUUCAGACCUGUUCAGCCGCUAUAUUCAAGACCAGUACUUUCUAAUUUCUACUCAAGCUCCGCCACAACAGCAUAUCUUACAGUUUAUACCGGUGUCUUAUC